UACGGUGGAUGUUUCACCAUCCUCUGCCCAAGCUGGGUCAUCACAAUCACAGACAAGAGUGUCGCCAGCAUUGCCAUCCUAUGACAUGAGAUGCUUUAAAGGUGCAUUACUUCGCACAGCAAUUCUGUGUCUGGAAAUCUAUUCUACACAAUGAAAUUGUGAUUCAUGCAAGCACAGUUUCUGCAGCAUUUCGCUUCUCUAAAAGUCACUGGAGACCGUCUGGAUCUUCAGACACAGACACUGGUUACUUUUGUUGUGAUGCAGUCAUUCUAUGUAAUGUGCAGAGAUAAAAAGGAAAAAAUCUGUAUGUGCAGGAAAAAUCGAUAUACUUGAAAAGCCACGGUGGCAGGAAUUGGUCAUCACCCACCAGGAUUCUACACUGCCCUACAGGUGAUCCCAACUGAGGUUGCCAGAGGAACAGGAUGUGGAAUGCAGUCGCGUUUCAGAGAGGAACCUAAAGUCAGAAUGGACCAGGGGUCUUGCCCUGACCUCUGCCUCUUCACCCAACCCCCACCUGGUCAGGCAGUGACCCUGGAGGGGCUGGGAUGAUCCUGGGAGAGCAGUGAAAUGGGGAGCCAAUGGUGGGAGCAUGGUGAACAUGGAGAGCCCAGACCCCACACCAUCUGGGGAGGAGCUCAUGUGAUGCUGGGAGCACUGGGAAGACAGGGAGCCUGGACACAGCACUCACUGCUCCUCCCAUCUGGGACAGGAUUGGGGUGGGUGAUGAGAAAAGUUUCCUGAGUAACACAGUUCCCAAUCCUGGCAGAAUAACUCACCCCAGUUGCACUCACAGCCAAGACCCACUCAGCCCCUGGACCAGUCUAACACAGGGCUUGGUAAAUCCAGGAGUGAAUACUACUGAGGCAUCUGCCAGGGCAUAGGAAACAGUAACAAGAGGACGGCUCAGCUAGUGGCUCAGACUAUCUUGCCCCACACUCUCCAAUAUUGAGUAGGGAGUAAGCCUUGAGCCCAGGAGGUUGAGGAUUCAGUGAAUUAUGAUCGUGCCACUGCACUCCAGACUGGUGACAGAGUAAGAGUCUGUCACACAUGCUUACACACACAAAUUAAAUUGUGUGAGCAGUUGUCACACAGGGAGAUCUGGAUGCACUCACUGUGGACCCAGGUCUCAGCGAGCAGGAGGGUGUUCUGUAUUGUGGGAACAUGAGGGACACGCAUGGGACCGGGCAUUUGUGCCUAGCUUUGAAGGGUGGCUGGCCCUUUGCCCAGGGCGAAGAGGCCAGCAGAAUGCACUAACAGUGGGGAACCACCAGGAACUUUCACUUGAACCUGCUCUGCUGAGCCCCCUGUGCCAUCCGUGGACCUGGGCGAGGGAGGCUGCUGAACUGGGAGCUCAGGGCCCAUCUCUCUGAGGAGCUUUCUAAAUCAGCAAGUGUGUCACAGGUUGAGAUUUUAGGAACGGGGUCCUCCAUGUUGUCCUCGAUUUUAAUAAGUAGACUCUUUUGGCCAAUCUGCAUUGGGCAGAGCAGGAACAAGACAUAAUUUUUUAAUAUAUAUUUUUAAAGCUGUUUAAUUUUGGUAAAAACAUAGAAGAUAAAAUUUACCAUCUUGACCAGUUGUUUAGUGCACAAUAUGUUGUUUUAAACCUCUGGAACCCUGCCUGCUGCUCCUGUAAUAAAACCUAGCCCGGGCCAGGCGCGGUGGCUAACGCCUGUAAUCCCAGCACUUUGGGAGGCCGAGACGGGUGGAUCACCUAAGGUCAUGAGUUUGAGACCAGCCUGGCCAACAAGAUGAAACCCCAUCUCUACCAAAAAUACAAACAAUUCGCCGGGCGUGGUGGAGGGCGUCUGUAAUCCCAGCUACUCCGGAAGCUGAGGCCAGAGAAUCCCUUGAACCCGGGAAGCGGCGAUUGCGGUGAGCCGAGAUCACGCCACUGCACUCCAG
Molecule: long non-coding RNA, 1902 nt
Filed under: Homo sapiens (human)
Lineage: Eukaryota; Metazoa; Chordata; Mammalia; Primates; Hominidae
Description: non-protein coding lnc-ULBP2-1:2
Source: RNAcentral